This 468-nucleotide ribosomal RNA is filed under the name uncultured bacterium. RNAcentral's name for it is "partial 16S ribosomal RNA". It matches the Rfam family "Bacterial small subunit ribosomal RNA", at positions 28 to 507 of the family's 1533-position model. The record is from RNAcentral.
GACGAACGCUGGCGGCGUGCUUAACACAUGCAAGUCGAACGGACAGGCCCUGCUUUUGUGGGGCGCUCGAGUGGCGAACGGGUGAGUAACACGCGUGUAACCUGCCCUUGACUUUGGGAUAACUUCAGGAAACUGGGGAUAAUACCGGAUAGGAGCUCCUGCUGCAUGGUGGGGGUUGGAAAGUUUCGGCGGUUGGGGAUGGACUCGCGGCUUAUCAGCUUGUUGGUGAGGUAGUGGCUUACCAAGGCUUUGACGGGUAGCCGGCAUGAGAGGGUGACCGGCCACCUUGGGACUGAGAUACGGCCCAGACGCCUACGGGACGCAGCAGUGGGGAAUAUUGCACAAUGGGCGGAAGCCUGAUGCAGCAACGCCGCGUGCGGGAUGACGGCCUUCGGGUUGUAAACCGCUUUCGCCUGUGACGAAGCGUGAGUGACGGUAAUGGGUAAAGAAGCACCGGCUAACUACGUG